Molecule: long non-coding RNA, 559 nt
Filed under: Homo sapiens (human)
Lineage: Eukaryota; Metazoa; Chordata; Mammalia; Primates; Hominidae
Description: HSALNT0120968
Source: RNAcentral
CAUCUUUUACCUUUACAUUUGGAGACAAUUUAAUGGAACUGACUAGUCUACAGCUGAUUGGAUAUGUGCUCUGUCACGUUAGCUGCUGUCUUGAGAGUUUCAGUACCCACUGUAGGUCACAGUGAGAGGGUAUCGUCUCUGUCCUCUGAUAUGAGAGUCACUGACACGCGUGGACUCUAUAAUGUGGUAAUAAAGGGUAAUGGGGAUUUCUUCUGUGAUGUAGACUUUUGGGCACUUCCAAAUUAAGUGUCAGAAUCCUUAACAUGUUUUGGAGAAAGGAAUAUGAGCCAAUAAAUUAGAUUAACUGUAAAAGGGAUAAUAACAGACCCACUUUAUUCGGUGGAUGUGAGUGUGACUGAGAGGACAUAUACCCAGGGCCUGGCUGGGGUGAGAGCUCAGGGGAAGGCCCAGGGUGGUGAGGCCUGGAGCUUUUGAAAUUUGGGGGGGAUCCCAUAAGAAAAAGAAAAAAUGCAAAAAUCUGAAUUAAAAAUAUAAUAGAUCUCCACAAAUUCAAAAAUGUUAAAAGCCAACCAUUGUCACAAACAUCAUAACAUCCAGA